Molecule: ribosomal RNA, 831 nt
Filed under: uncultured Sphingobacteriia bacterium
Lineage: Bacteria; Pseudomonadati; Bacteroidota; Sphingobacteriia
Description: bacterial SSU rRNA
Rfam family: Bacterial small subunit ribosomal RNA
Source: RNAcentral
AUUUAGGAGCUUGCUUCUAAUGAGAGUGGCGCACGGGUGCGUAACACGUAUGUAACCUACCUUUAUCAGGGGGAUAGCCUCUCGAAAGAGAGAUUAAGCCCGCAUAAAAUCACAGCACAGCAUUGUGAAAUGAUCAAAUAUUUAUAGGAUAAAGAUGGGCAUGCGGAACAUUAGCUAGUUGGUAAGGUAACGGCUUACCAAGGCUACGAUGUUUAGGGGAUCUGAGAGGAUGACCCCCCACACUGGUACUGAGACACGGACCAGACUCCUACGGGAGGCAGCAGUAAGGAAUAUUGGUCAAUGGGCGGAAGCCUGAACCAGCCAUGCCGCGUGCAGGAAGACGGCCCUACGGGUUGUAAACUGCUUUUGCAGGGGAAUAAACCCCCGAUCGUGAUCGGGGCUGAAUGUACUCUGAGAAUAAGGAUCGGCUAACUCCGUGCCAGCAGCCGCGGUAAUACGGAGGAUCCGAGCGUUAUCCGGAUUUAUUGGGUUUAAAGGGUGCGUAGGCGGCUUUUUAAGUCAGGGGUGAAAGACGGUAGCUUAACUAUCGCAGUGCCCUUGAUACUGAAGAGCUUGAAUGUACUAGAGGUAGGCGGAAUGUGACAAGUAGCGGUGAAAUGCAUAGAUAUGUCACAGAACACCAAUUGCGAAGGCAGCUUACUAUGGUAUGAUUGACGCUGAGGCACGAAAGCGUGGGGAUCAAACAGGAUUAGAUACCCUGGUAGUCCACGCCCUAAACGAUGAAUACUCGAUGUUAGCGAUAUACAGUUAGCGUCAAAGCGAAAGCGUUAAGUAUUCCACCUGGGGAGUACGCCCGCAAGGGUGAAACUC